UCAAACCAUCAAGCUUGGCUUGUCGUUGGGCCCUUUGUCACCUGGUGAUAGGUCCAAAAGAUAAUGACUGGUGUCGUAAAGACUCUAUAUGCAACGAGCUUAGAACAGCACGCAUCUAGUAGUUAUAUGGCCCGGUUCUCAACCCUUUAUUUCUCAA
Molecule: unclassified non-coding RNA, 157 nt
Filed under: uncultured Herpotrichiellaceae
Lineage: Eukaryota; Fungi; Ascomycota; Eurotiomycetes; Chaetothyriales; Herpotrichiellaceae
Description: sequence contains ITS2
Source: RNAcentral